Long non-coding RNA from Gallus gallus (chicken), 556 nucleotides. NCBI's taxonomy places the organism in Eukaryota, Metazoa, Chordata, Aves, Galliformes, Phasianidae. The record is from Ensembl.
CUACACUGCCACCUGUGCACCCUUGUUUGACUGAUGCUUGAUCCUGUCUGCUGGGAAGGCUGGCUGAAUGGAGGCAGACCCAUCUCCUCUUUCUCUCCUCUGGAACGUGCUUUCAGUCUGCUGCUGCAGUGCAGAUUUGCAGCUGGGUUCUGCUCAGGGUGUGUGGCUGCUCGGCCUCACUGCUGCUUUCCUGCACUGGAUGCGUGCACCUCCAGGAGUGUUGGUUCUUCUGCAUCUCAGGGAAGGAGACUCAUCCUCAUCUGCGCCCUUUUCAGCUGUGAAGGAAGUGUUGGUGCAGGGUCUCCAGGAGGGCCAUAGGUCCUAUGGGCCAACCUGGGCUCAUCCACGCAGAGCUCCUCCUGGCGCAGUGUGUCUGCCAUAUCCCAGGUUUUGGGGCUGAGGAGGUUUUUCUUCCCUCGCAGCUGCGCUCCACACGAAGCUCUGGGCUCCAUUUCCCAGCUCAGCCCCACGCUCCCCCCGCAGCCUUUCUUUCCCAAAGACCAGCAGCCAACCCAGGAGGGGUGGGGACCCCCGGCCCCCUAUUUCACCCCGUUUC